UGCUGCCCACACCCUGCUUAAGGGAAGUUUCAAACCCCCUAUAUAAACACAUGUAUAACACAAAGAAAUUCACACCAACUGUAGAUCUCACACUGCUCGACUGAAAACUGCAUUAACUUUGAGAAAAGAAGAUGAAGUACGUCCAACUCCUUGUGGUGUUGGCGCUGGUCGUCCUCAUGGCUGAACAAGGGGAGGCUUUUUUUCACCACAUCUUUGGAGGGAUUUUCCAUGCCGUCAAAGGGUAAGGCCUUUCACUUCUCUUCUUUAAAAACAAAACAAAAGGGCGGCAGAGGCUUAGUCUGUAAGGGCUUGGAGUGGGGGGUCCAAAGGGUCGCCGAUUCACGUCCCGAUUGGACCAAAAAAAUGGAGUGAGCCGGUAGCUGGAGAGGUGCCAGUUCUCCUCCUGAGCCACUGCCGAGGUGCCCUUGAGCAAGGCACCGACCCUGAUUCUGCUCGCUGGCGCCGGGUACCUGGCAGCCUCCCUGCUCUGCCACCUCUCCUGCAUGUGUGUGGUUGCUUGUGCAUGUAUAUCAUUGUUGCUUGAGCAUGUACUGUAUAUCCUCCGUGUGUGUGUAAUGUGUGUGUAUAACACCAGAGUGGGGAAAGACAUUUCCCUUCAAGGGAUUAAUAAAGUAUAUCUUCUUCUUCUGCUUGAUACUUGAUUCAUUCAUAAUAAAUAAGAGCUCUUGCUGCAUUAUUUGUGAUAUUCCUGAGCUGAACUCUAUGAAUGUCCUCUAUCCAACCACCAGACUCAUCGGGACUAAAAAAUAUGAUGCCAUGAUGGAGCAGGAAGCGUUGGAUCGUGCGGUGGAACGAGAGAGAGAGUUUGCCUGAAUCCACGACGGUCCACCCGAUGGAGAAACCCCCAAAACUUUGUUUCAGAUGAAAAUGAAUGCUUCUUUCACAGUAACAUUAAAACAAUUCAUUAACUCAACAUGCUAACCAUAAUAAAUAUGCACUGUAGCAGCAAAA
Molecule: long non-coding RNA, 972 nt
Organism: Eleginops maclovinus (Patagonian blennie)
Lineage: Eukaryota; Metazoa; Chordata; Actinopteri; Perciformes; Eleginopidae
Exons: 3
Source: RefSeq, a predicted model, not a curated record